UGAAAAUACACCGUCAUAGCAACGUAGUUCGUAGUCGUCCAAAGUAAAAGUAAGAUUUCGUUGUAUCGUAUAUUAAAGUUGUAUCGUACGCGUGACUUUUGUUAUCCAACGAUUGAAAAUUAAAUAAAAUGUCAUUAUUUAAAACGAAAGAAUGGUGGAGAACGAAAUGUGGAUCAAACGAGACGUUCGAUCGAUCGAGUCUCCUUGUGGUUUCUUUAUUUGAAGACGACAGAAAGGAUUGCGUCGUAAUUGGCAGUCAUCAAGGAUAUUUAAGGAUAUAUAAUUUAUCAUCUCAAUGGCAGGACGAAACAAAAUCUUCGACGGGUUACAAAUCUAUCGAUCUUAUGACCGAAACAAAACUCGGUGAUUGUAUCGUCGACAUAAAGGCGGGAAAAUUAGUAUCUGGUUCCCAAGAUACUCGUCUGGCAGUAUUAACAUCGAGCAAGCUUAUAGUUUACACGGUUGCAUUGACAAAGGGAUCUAUCGAACAUGGAGAUCAAUGUAAUCUGGAAAUUGCUUACGAACACAGAUUACCACGCUUUCCAGCAUCCCUCGUAGUUGGUCCAUUCGGUGGUGUACGUGGCAGAGACUUCUUAUGCGUUCAAUACUUGGACGGAACUUUAUUCUUUUACGAGCAAGAAGCUUAUGCCUUCAGUCAACUUCUAAGGAAUCGUCUGUUGCCCGAACCGAUCGUUUACAUUUCGCGGAACGACGUCUUCGUCACUUCGAAUUGCUCGUGGAUCCUCGAAUGCUACAGGUAUCAAAAUAUAGCAGAGUUUGGAAGAAAUCAAAAGGAUGGAGAAACGAAGAACGAAGCGGCAAAGAGCUUGGAACCAGAAUGGAGUUACAACAUAGGAGAGGCUGUAGUCGAUAUCGGUGCUGUUACCUUGAGCAGUUUCGAGAUCGGGAUCGUCGUUCUCGGGGAGAAAAAUCUUUACUGCUUCAAGGACACUGGUGCUUCGUUAAAGUACACAAAAAGGCUCGACUACAAAGCACUUUGUUUUCACGCUUACGUCAUAGAACCGGAUGGGAAACUGAUGGUGUUCGUAAUUGCCGAUACAAGCACCUUGAUGAUUUACGAGGGUACAACUCUCAAGUGGUCGGCACAGCUACCGUUCGUUCCGGUAGCCGUAACUAGAGCACAUUUUCAGUAUCUGGAUGGUUUAAUCGUUAUACUCUCGGAGGAAGGACAAUUGGAGGCCUGCUAUUUAGGAUCGGAACCUUCUCUUUUCAUAGCACCGGCUGUUCAUCGACGUGGAUUUGAUUAUAUAGCUGCGGAAGAGGAAUUGUUAGAAUUACGUAGGAAAUUGAAGGAGAUGAAACUUUCGGGCGAUCAACUUGCGGUAACACCUGUAACGGAUAUGGAAUUGCUCGUUAACGUCAACAUUUCUCCCGAUUUGGAACCUUGUCCUUUCGUUGAUAAAGAAUCGAAGGAGGAUCAAGAGAUACGACAAUUGUCUAUGUGCAGGGCAACCAUAGAAUUGUCAUCUUACACAACACUUUACGGUGUACAAGUUUGCAUCGACGUGUCGAAACCAUUCGUCUCUACGAUCACUUAUCGUGUCAUUCAAAAUCUCUGCGAAAAACACGUCGUUCAAACGUUGAUUUAUCCGAAUGAAAAUUUACCUAUUAUGUCAUCCGAAGUUAAGAUCACUGCUACGUACGAGAACGAUCGUGGGAAUUUUCGAAUAAUACAAAAGACGACGGAGUUGCCCUUAAAGUUGAUGUUGAGAGCUUGCCCGCCCGAAAACACAUCGACCUUCACCGUUAUCAUAAAGUGCAACGAGUCGCUCGUAGGAUUCAAUCAGCUCUUUCCGGAAUUUAGCGGAGAUCAUCUUCGAAAACAGAAUUGGAAUAUGUUGGGUCUACAGCACAUUCAAACUGGACACGUAGUGACAAUAGUUUCCGGUAGUACAAGCAACCGAUAUCGAGUGCAGUCGAACGACGGUCUAUCGAUGUCCUUGGUGGUGCAGCAGCUGGUUAACAGGCUCAAGGACAAGUCGACAGGAAGGCUCGCAGCAUCCAUAAGCCAGCAUCACGUGCAACUGGUGCACGUGCAGAUGGAACUUCACUUUCUAUGUCGGCAGGAAGUUGAUCGAAUAAACACCGAACUAGCUUUGCUGAUGACCCAGUUGAGAAAUAUCGAGAAAAGGAUGUUAAGAGCUGCGAGAGAGAGGAACAGCCGAUCUUUAAACGCCACAGGAUUAUCCUUCCUCUUAAGCUCGACGUAUGAUGCGAUCUCCGGACUUCUUGAUGAUCUUGCGGCGGCUCAAAUGAAACGAGAGCAUGCCAGGCAUGGUUUGCACUGCGCGCUGAGGUUGCUGCUCCUGCUCUUGCGGCUUAACGUAAAUAACGAUAAGUAUACGAUUCUGGAGUCGGCGAUCGGAUUCGAGGCACAGCUGCGUGACGAAGUCUCCCAUCCGACUACGACGGGAGGACGAUAGGAUUACGUGGAAAGUCAGGCCUGACUCCUCGAUCGAGCUUCCCGGAAGAACGGACCUUCAUCGGCACAGGGAUGACUGCUUCCUGCCUGAUCCUCGUCGUUCUAAGCAACAUCAGCAAAAGCAUCAUCAACCACCUCCGAGCGGCUAUGCCGUCCUUCGCGGAGGAGAGCGCCGGACUUGUCUUACCUCUUCCUCCUCCGCUCUUGGAUCAUCCCCACUCCAUGUAAGAGCGCCACUACGAUCGGCUGGAACUACUUGUCGUUUACGGUGGAACGAAACGGAAUGGAACCGCAUUGAACGAAACGGAACGGAAUGAGUCGGGUUAUUAAUUAGAAAAGAGAGAAGAACAGAAGAGAUUCUUGGUACCACAUCGGCUUGUGUUCCCCACUUUGCCACCCACGAUCGCUGAAACAAAACGUUAACGAGCAUCGACUCUGAAACGGGGUCCCUCUCGACAGAGGGAGAAGCACCUGUUGCUCCUUCGCUUCUAGGAAAAGGACUCUUUCGGACAUCCUGCGCAGUAUAAGAAUAAAGAGAAAUAAGGACAACGGGGGAGAAAAAA
RNA transcript from Vespa crabro (European hornet), 3006 nucleotides. It is a transcript of the gene named protein PTHB1, with no coding region annotated. The record is from RefSeq and is a predicted model, not a curated record. The transcript is spliced from 15 exons. Lineage: Eukaryota; Metazoa; Arthropoda; Insecta; Hymenoptera; Vespidae.